UGGGGAAUUUUGGACAAUGGGGGCAACCCUGAUCCAGCAAUGCCGCGUGUGUGAAGAAGGCCUUCGGGUUGUAAAGCACUUUUGUCCGGAAAGAAAACGCCGUGGUUAAUACCCGUGGCGGAUGACGGUACCGGAAGAAUAAGCACCGGCUAACUACGUGCCAGCAGCCGCGGUAAUACGUAGGGUGCAAGCGUUAAUCGGAAUUACUGGGCGUAAAGCGUGCGCAGGCGGUCCGCUAAGACAGAUGUGAAAUCCCCGGGCUUAACCUGGGAACUGCAUUUGUGACUGGCGGGCUAGAGUAUGGCAGAGGGGGGUAGAAUUCCACGUGUAGCAGUGAAAUGCGUAGAGAUGUGGAGGAAUACCGAUGGCGAAGGCAGCCCCCUGGGCCAAUACUGACGCUCAUGCACGAAAGCGUGGGGAGCAAACAGGAUUAGAUACCCUGGUAGUCCACGCCCUAAACGAUGUCAACUAGUUGUCGGGUCUUCAUUGACUUGGUAACGUAGCUAACGCGUGAAGUUGACCGCCUGGGGAGUACGGUCGCAAGAUUAAAACUUAAAUGAAUUGACGGGGUC
RNAcentral lists this ribosomal RNA (572 nucleotides) under uncultured bacterium. RNAcentral's name for it is "partial 16S ribosomal RNA". It matches the Rfam family "Bacterial small subunit ribosomal RNA", at positions 355 to 920 of the family's 1533-position model. The record is from RNAcentral.